Molecule: ribosomal RNA, 460 nt
Filed under: uncultured bacterium
Lineage: Bacteria
Description: partial 16S ribosomal RNA
Rfam family: Bacterial small subunit ribosomal RNA
Source: RNAcentral
CCUACGGGUGGCAGCAGUGAGGAAUAUUGGUCAAUGGACGCAAGUCUGAACCAGCCAUGCCGCGUGCAGGAAGACGGCUCUAUGAGUUGUAAACUGCUUUUGUACGAGGGUAAACGCAGAUACGCGUAUCUGUCUGAAAGUAUCGUACGAAUAAGGAUCGGCUAACUCCGUGCCAGCAUCCGCGGUAAUACGGAGGAUUCAAGCGUUAUCCGGAUUUAUUGGGUUUAAAGGGUGCGUAGGCGGUCGUAUAAGUUAGAGGUGAAAUCCCGAGGCUCAACUUCGGAAUUGCCUCUGAUACUGUGCGGCUAGAGAGUAGUUGCGGUAGGCGGAAUGUAUGGUGUAGCGGUGAAAUGCUUAGAGAUCAUACAGAACACCGAUUGCGAAGGCAGCUUACCAAGCUACUUCUGACGUUGAGGCACGAAAGCGUGGGGAGCAAACAGGAUUAGAUACCCCAGUAGUC